This 4827-nucleotide long non-coding RNA is filed under the name Phaseolus vulgaris (common bean). Its description in RNAcentral is "long non-coding RNA (PVUL_LNC003714)". The record is from RNAcentral. Lineage: Eukaryota; Viridiplantae; Streptophyta; Magnoliopsida; Fabales; Fabaceae.
AAACAAAACUUUAUUAAUAGUGGAUACUUUGUAUAUAGUCAUGUUUAGCCACAUGUGAGAUAACGAUAAUUACAUAAGGAAACAAGAUAUAGACACAACAACAAAAUUUAUUAUUGAGAAAGAAAACAUAAAGUGCAAGCAGUGGUAGGUUACAAUUGGGUUCUUCCAAGAUUGGCUUGUCUGGAGUUGAAUUACUGUCAUCGUUUUUUUUUGGAAAUGAAGACAUUGUUUUCAAAAAUAUUACCAUUACCGUUUCCCUGAAACCUUCCACAAUUGGAGACCCCUCUUGCAUUUUUGGGGGUGGCACGAGGUACUGGUAUGGAAACACUAUCACUGUCUUCACUGUCAGACUGCCAAAACCCUUUACCCCUCCGUUUAUUAUGGCAAUGAGGGCACAUGGUAGGCUUCCAAGUCCCAGUUUUAUAGACUUCAUCAAACAUGUAAAGUAAUGCAGAGACAGGAUGCUUCUCAAGGCCCUCCACUGUUAUGUCAAAUUUCCCAUUGGAUACUCCAAUCUUUGCCACCACAGAAAGCCCAAUAUCUGUUCCUCUUGACAUGUGUAAACUUGUUCCGCUACUCUUAACAAAGUAGUGUGCCACAGUCACCACCGCGGCCUCUUUCUCCCUUCUGUUUUUCUUUGACUCCACAACAAUAAGACCCCAUCUGCUUCCACUCCCAUACAAUUUAACUGUUGUAUCCACAACAUCACCCCAUGCAACACACUUGUUUUUCUUUGUCGAUAUAUCGCACCCAGAGAACGAAAACAUCAAAGUUUCUAUCCUCAUAUAAUUGGUAUCAGUGAUUUCCAUAUCAAUCUCCGAACAAGUGAACAUAGAUACACGGUCUUGGACGAAAAACUGUACUUUUCGGGAUUGCUAUGUUGAUCAACACCAUAUCUUGUGAAGGAUACCUGACAAGUUUCCUUAUCUACUGUGUAUACCACCUUAAAUGUCUCAUUGACCACUCCCGCAUCGUCUUUCUCACUCAAAUCUCUUGACAAGUCGAUGGAAGUGGAGGCUCCGAGCUGUAGAUGGCAAGGAAUUGGAGCAGUUCCAAUAUAAGUAUCGAGAACAACACUAAGACUGUUUCCCAUCUUGUUAUUUUAUAGGAAAUAGAAUGGAAGGAAUAGAAUGGAUUAGUAGUUUAAGGGUUCAGACUUCAAUGGAAGGAUGUUCACAUGCCAAUGUUAUUUAUAGAGAGAUGCACACAUUACAAUACAGUAUAAUCUUUGCCCUAGUAAGCGUUAUUCUUACGCACAUUCAUUCAUUCCAUCACAAUCACUGUGGCAUCUAAUUCUAUUGCUUCUCGAAUGCUUUUCAAUGUGUUCCCUCAUUCCCUAUAUUCACCAUCUUUUUUUAUUUCACUCUCCCUUCUAACUAAACUCCUCAAAUGUGCUAAUGUUGGAUUCUUUUGCCUUAUACCUCGUUCAUAUUGCUGUGGUUGUUAAUGGGUAUUUUUUAUCGUGUGCUUGUCUGGGGAAUUUGGCCACUUUAGUAUAUGCAAUGCAAUGCAACCUGUGUUGGUCAUACUUGCUUCUAUGAUGAUGUGAUUGGGAAAAUUUAGUUAUGAUUCUUUUUGGUCAUGACAAUUCUGAUUGGCUUUUGGGUUUUGAGACCAUCUUUGGAGCAUUUACUUGCUGUCUGUGGCAUGGAUUAGGAAAAGAUGGGGAGGGUAUUUUAGGAAAUCAAUUCAAUUGUGUGCAAGUGUGUGUGGAUUUGCAAAUUAUUUAGGGAAUGUUUUUUUCCAUGUAAAAUAGCUAUAGUAAUUUCCACUUUGUUAAACUUUAUUUUGUCUGCGUUCACUUCUACGUUGCUUUUCUUUUCUCUUACUUUAUUCUUCUGUAUUUUACUACCAAAUCAGUCUUUUAUUCUCACAUAUCAAUUAUAUAAUAUAAUUCUGAUACAGACCAACACAGAAAAUAAGAGAAAGGAGGUAAACGUGGUAUAUUAUUGAUACUGAAAAAGGGAAAAUACAAUAGGAGGCUACUGUCCAGAGCUAUGCUCCUAUAGAGAAUUAGCAUUCUCCAUUCUGCAAAACUGCAAUAUUCUUUUCUCCCCCCAUUCUCAUGCUAGGCUGUGCCUAUAAGGGUACACGCCUCACACACCCACAAACCCGUAACUAACUAUCACCCAACCUUUUCUUUCUCUCUCUCUCUGCCACCUCAUCAUGCUCUGUUAGCCUUUUCAAUUCUGUUUCUCCUAGUGUACACACGCCAUAUUCUAGGCCUAUGUAAACCUGGAUCAGCUUGAACAUUCUUUUGGGCCCAUGAAUCAUUUUGGGUUCUAUCAAAUUCUCUAUCAUAUGCAAACAGAAUGAGGUUUGGAGAGGUAUGUGGGCAUCUAAAAUAAGGUGUAUUUGGGAACAAAGAAACUGUGUUGUCUUUAAGCAAGGUGUAGCUGAUUCAGAGAAAAUCUUUCAUUUGGCACAACUUAUAAUGUGGUUAUGGGUGAAACAUAGCGUGCAAUCAUUCAACUAUUCUUUUUUGGAUUGGGUGUUAAAUCCUAUUCUUUGUAUCAAACGGUGUGGAUGUGGACGUCUGGAAGCUAGGGGUCUAAUGCUAGGUGCACAAAGUUCAUUUGGAUGGAGCAUACCAUUUGCAUCUGGUAGUGCAAUUUGUGCAGCAUCCUGUGGCAAUGAGCUGCUGGUAGUGUUACUAGUUUUUGAUAAUGGUUGUUUCCAAGGUAGUGGUACUAGUUUUUGGGAAGAUCUUCAUAGCUAUGGUUUUUUACAAUUUAAAAUACACCUGGUGAAGUAAUAGAAGUGGUGUAAGGAGGCAGCUUGUAUAGGAAUUGAAUUGGUAUGUACAAGGACUAGUGCUCUUGAAGUUGUAGGAGGUAAAACAAAAUUGGGAAUGCUGGUUUGGUGUGGAUGACGGUUUGGGAUGGUAUGCAGGAGAUAAACCAGCAUCGUAUGAUAUGAUGACUAGGUGAGAUUGUUGGUUUGAUGUGGAAGCUGGUGUUGAAUGCUGGAUGCUGGUUUGUAGGUUAAAGGUGCUCUAAGGCCAAAAACUUCGUUUUACAAGCAAUGCUUAAGCCAAUGCAGGGGAAUUUAACAACUCCUAUGAAGCCCAACUAUACCAGAAGCAUACAAAGUAGAUGCAAGUGCAACCUAACUUUUUUGUUUGCUGAAUUUUAGCAAGAAGAAGAUGAUCAUGUUGGCAGUUAUGGCAGCAGUUUUUGAAGUCUAAAUUGUGUAACUAUACAGGUGAUUAAUGGCCAAAGGAACUGUUAGGAAAGAGAGAUGCAGAUUCGCUAGAAUAUGUGGCAUAAAUUAUAUGGGAACAUCAAAUAUGUUUUCAGCACUCACAAUCACAUAUUGAUGAGUCUAGUUUUCAGUCACCUUCAUGUUUCAUAAGUUGAUCAUCAUCAUCACAUGCCAUUACAACUUUAAUAUGUUUUCAUCGCAACCACAACAUCUUUUAGACACAUCAAAUAAUUUUGCGACAUAUACCACAACCAUCCACAUACAAUCCACUAUUUUGUUGGAAUCACGACUUAAGUACCCUUUUUUUUUAACUCAUUUUGAUAAAUCUAAAAUAAAAUCAUACCAUUUACUUCAAAAAAAAACGAUCCAACAUUGUAUACUAACAAAAAGGAAACACAACUUUAUUUUCCUUCUUCCAAGAUUUACAUGUCUUGAGUUGAAUAACUCUUACCAUCUUUUUUUAAUCAACAUAACAUUGUUUUCAUAAAUAUUACCAUUACCGUUUCCCCGGAACCAUCCACCAUUGGAUACCCCUCUUGCAUAUUUGGGGGUGGCACGAGGUACUGGUAUGGAAACACUAUCACUGUCUUCACUGUCAGACUGCCAAAACACUUUACCCUUCCGUUUAUGAUCGCAAUGAGGGCACAUGGUAGGCUUUCAAGUCCCAGUUUUAUAGACUUGAUCAAACAUAUAAAGUAAUGCAGAGACAGGAUACUGCUCAGGGCCCUCCACUGUUGUAUCAAUUUUUCCAUUGAAUAAUCUACACUUUGCCACCAGAGAAAGCCCAAUAUCUGUUCCAGUUGAUCUGUCAAAACUUGUUCCGCUGCUCUUGACAAAGUAGUGCGCCACAGUCACCACCGAGGACCCCACCUCCCUCUCUUUUUCUUUGACUCCUUAACAAGAAGACCGCUUCUGCCUCCACUCCCAUACAACUGAACUUCUGUAUCCACAACACCACCCCAUGCAUCAAAACUCUCGUUAUUCUUUGCCCAUGUUUUGAAAUCAGGUAUCAACAACCUGAAACUCUUCAUCCAAAUAUAAUUGGUCUCAUCGAACCCAAUAGAAUACCACGAAUAGAAAUCAAAAGAUAUACGGUCUUGGACGAAAAAUCGUAUUUCUUUGGCCUUGCUAUGUUGAUCAACACCAUAUCUUGUGAAGGAUACCUCACAAGUUUCCUUAUCUACUGUGUAUACCACCUUAAAGGUCUCCUUCACCGCAUCGUCUUUCUCAAAAUCUUUGGACAAGUCGAUGGAAGUGGAUGGUCCCAGCUGUAGAUGGCAGGGAAUUGGAGCAGAUCCAAUAUAAUUAUCGAGAACAACAUCAAGACUGCUUCCCAUCUUGUUAUUUUAUAGGAAAUAGAAUGGAAGGAAUGGAAUGGAUUAGUAGUUUAAGGGUUGAUACUUGAAUGGAAGGAUGUUCACAUGCCAAUGUUAUAUAUAGAGAUGCACACAUUACAUUACAGUAUAAUCUUUGCCCUAGUAAGCGUUAUUCUUACGCACAUUCAUUCUUUCAAUCACAGUCACUGUGGCAUCUAAUUCUCCAUCAUGCAUUACCUUUUACUGUUAAAUAUUCUCCAAUCUUCAACCUCUUUGAUUCUUCAUUCUUCCACUAAUUCAAUUCUUU